RNAcentral lists this ribosomal RNA (483 nucleotides) under uncultured bacterium. RNAcentral describes it as "partial 16S ribosomal RNA". It matches the Rfam family "Bacterial small subunit ribosomal RNA", at positions 28 to 507 of the family's 1533-position model. The record is from RNAcentral.
GACGAACGCUGGCGGCGUGCUUAACACAUGCAAGUCGAACGCUGAAGCUCAGCUUUUGUUGGGUGGAUGAGUGGCGAACGGGUGAGUAACACGUGAGUAACCUGCCCCCUUCUUUGGGAUAACGCCCGGAAACGGGUGCUAAUACUGGAUAUUCACUGGUCUUCGCAUGGGGGUUGGUGGAAAGGGUUUUUCUGGUGGGGGAUGGGCUCGCGGCCUAUCAGCUUGUUGGUGGGGUGAUGGCCUACCAAGGCUUUGACGGGUAGCCGGCCUGAGAGGGUGACCGGUCACAUUGUGACUGAGAUACGGCCCAGACUCCUACGGGAGGCAGCAGUGGGGAAUAUUGCACAAUGGGCGCAAGCCUGAUGCAGCGACGCCGCGUGAGGGAUGGAGGCCUUCGGGUUGUGAACCUCUUUCGCUCAUGGUCAAGCCGCAACAAUGGUUGUGGUGAGGGUAGUGGGUAAAGAAGCGCCGGCUAACUACGUG